This 425-nucleotide ribosomal RNA is filed under the name uncultured bacterium. RNAcentral's name for it is "bacterial SSU rRNA". It matches the Rfam family "Bacterial small subunit ribosomal RNA", at positions 356 to 773 of the family's 1533-position model. The record is from RNAcentral.
GGGGAAUUUUGGACAAUGGGGGCAACCCUGAUCCAGCAAUGCCGCGUGCAGGAAGAAGGCCUUCGGGUUGUAAACUGCUUUUGUACGGAACGAAAAGGCUCUGGUUAAUACCUGGGGCACAUGACGGUACCGUAAGAAUAAGCACCGGCUAACUACGUGCCAGCAGCCGCGGUAAUACGUAGGGUGCGAGCGUUAAUCGGAAUUACUGGGCGUAAAGCGUGCGCAGGCGGUGCUGUAAGACAGGCGUGAAAUCCCCGGGCUUAACCUGGGAAUGGCGCUUGUGACUGCAGUGCUGGAGUGUGGCAGAGGGGGAUGGAAUUCCGCGUGUAGCAGUGAAAUGCGUAGAUAUGCGGAGGAACACCGAUGGCGAAGGCAAUCCCCUGGGCCUGCACUGACGCUCAUGCACGAAAGCGUGGGGAGCAAAC